GGGGGUUUAGCUCAGUUGGUAGAGCGCCUGCCUUGCAAGCAGGAUGUCAGCGGUUCGAGUCCGCUAACCUCCA
Molecule: transfer RNA, 73 nt
Filed under: Calothrix sp. PCC 6303
Lineage: Bacteria; Bacillati; Cyanobacteriota; Cyanophyceae; Nostocales; Calotrichaceae
Also listed under: 1 other name
Description: tRNA-Ala
Rfam family: tRNA
About the family: Transfer RNA (tRNA) molecules are approximately 80 nucleotides in length.
Source: RNAcentral